AGAGUUUGAUCCUGGCUCAGGACGAACGCUGGCGGCGUGCCUAACACAUGCAAGUCAGGGAGAAAAGGGUAGCAAUAUCCUGAGUAAACCGGCGAACGGGUGCGUAACACGUAGGCAACUUACCUUGUGAACGGGGAUAACCCCGCGAAAGCGGGGCUAAUACCCGAUGAGAUCCAGUCACAGCAUUGUAGCGGGAUCAAAGGCCCCAAAAGGGCGUCACAAGAUGGGCCUGCGUCCCAUUAGAUUGUUGGCGGGGUAAUGGCCCACCAAGUCGAUGAUGGGUAGCUGGUCUGAGAGGACGAUCAGCCACACUGGAACUGAGACACGGUCCAGACUUCUACGGAAGGCAGCAGUGAGGAAUAUUGCUCAAUGGGCGAAAGCCUGAAGCAGCGACGCCGCGUGAGGGAUGAAAUCCGUUAGGAUGUAAACCUCUUUUACGAGGGAAGAAUAUCCGCCUAUGGCGGAGGUGACUGUACCUCGUGAAUAAGCACCGGCCAACUACGUGCCAGCAGCCGCGGUAAUACGUAGGGUGCAAGCGUUGUCCGGAAUUACUGGGUGUAAAGGGUCCGCAGGCGGGCAAGCAAGUCGGUGGUGAAAGUUCACGGCUCAACCGUGAAACUGCCUUCGAUACUGCUUGUCUUGAGUUCGAGAGAGGAUAAUGGAAUUCAUGGUGUAGCGGUGAAAUGUGUAGAGAUCAUGAAGAACACCGGUAGCGAAGGCGGUUAUCUGGCUCGAUACUGACGCUCAGGGACGAAAGCGUGGGUAGCAAACAGGAUUAGAUACCCUGGUAGUCCACGCCUUAAACGAUGGAUGUUCGGUGUCGGUCCGCAAGGAUCGGUGCCUGAGCUAACGCGUUAAACAUCCCACCUGGGGAGUACGAUCGCAAGGUUGAAACUCAAAGGAAUUGACGGGGGCCCGCACAAGCAGUGGAGCAUGUGGUUCAAUUCGAUGCAACGCGAAGAACCUUACCUGGGUUUGACAUGCUCGUAGUAGGAUCCCGAAAGGGAAACGACUCGUAAAGCCGAGAGCGAGCACAGGUGUUGCAUGGCUGUCGUCAGCUCGUGUCGUGAGAUGUUGGGUUAAGUCCCGUAACGAGCGAAACCCUUGUCUCCAGUUGCCAGCGGGUAAUGCCGGGGACUCUGGAGAGACCGCCGGUGUCAAACCGGAGGAAGGCGGGGAUGACGUCAAGUCCUCAUGGCCUUUAUGUCCAGGGCUGCACACGUGCUACAAUAGCGUUUACAGAGGGACGCGAACUCGCGAGAGGGAGCUAAUCCCAAAAAACACGCCCCAGUC
Molecule: ribosomal RNA, 1293 nt
Filed under: groundwater metagenome
Description: bacterial SSU rRNA
Rfam family: Bacterial small subunit ribosomal RNA
Source: RNAcentral